UACGGAAGGCAGCAGUGGGGAAUAUUGCACAAUGGGCGCAAGCCUGAUGCAGCCAUGCCGCGUGUAUGAAGAAGGCCUUCGGGUUGUAAAGUACUUUCAGUCGUGAGGAAGGUGUUAAGGUUAAUAACCUUAGCAAUUGACGUUAGCGACAGAAGAAGCACCGGCUAACUCCGUGCCAGCAGCCGCGGUAAUACGGAGGGUGCGAGCGUUAAUCGGAAUUACUGGGCGUAAAGGGCACGCAGGCGGUUAAUUAAGUUGGAUGUGAAAUCCCCGGGCUUAACCUGGGAAUGGCAUUCAAGACUGGUUAGCUAGAGUCUUGUAGAGGGGGUAGAAUUCCAUGUGUAGCGGUGAAAUGCGUAGAGAUGUGGAGGAUACCGGUGGCGAAGGCGGCCCCUGGACAAAGGACUGACGCUCAUGUGCGAAAGCGUGGGGAGCGAAAC
Molecule: ribosomal RNA, 440 nt
Filed under: uncultured bacterium
Lineage: Bacteria
Description: bacterial SSU rRNA
Rfam family: Bacterial small subunit ribosomal RNA
Source: RNAcentral